This 497-nucleotide ribosomal RNA is filed under the name uncultured bacterium. RNAcentral describes it as "partial 16S ribosomal RNA". It matches the Rfam family "Bacterial small subunit ribosomal RNA", at positions 28 to 507 of the family's 1533-position model. The record is from RNAcentral.
GAUGAACGCUGGCGGCGUGCCUAAUACAUGCAAGUCGAGCGAACAGACGAGGAGCUUGCUCCUCUGACGUUAGCGGCGGACGGGUGAGUAACACGUGGAUAACCUACCUAUAAGACUAGGAUAACUUCGGGAAACCGGAGCUAAUACCGGAUAAUAUAUUGAACCGCAUGGUUCAAUAGUGAAAGACGGUUUUGCUGUCACUUAUAGAUGGAUCCGCGCCGCAUUAGCUAGUUGGUAAGGUAACGGCUUACCAAGGCAACGAUGCGUAGCCGACCUGAGAGGGUGAUCGGCCACACUGGAACUGAGACACGGUCCAGACUCCUACGGGAGGCAGCAGUAGGGAAUCUUCCGCAAUGGGCGAAAGCUUGACGGAGCAACGCCGCGUGAGUGAUGAAGGUCUUCGGAUCGUAAAACUCUGUUAUUAGGGAAGAACAAAUGUGUAAGUAACUAUGCACGUCUUGACGGCACCUAAUCAGAAAGCCACGGCUAACUACGUG